GACGAACGCUGGCGGCGUGCUUAACACAUGCAAGUCGAACGGAAAGGCCCUGCUUUUGUGGGGUGCUCGAGUGGCGAACGGGUGAGUAACACGUGAGUAACCUGCCCUUGACUUUGGGAUAACUUCAGGAAACUGGGGCCAAUACCGGAUAGGAGCUCCUGCUGCAUGGUGGGGGUUGGAAGUUUCGGCGGUUGGGGAUGGACUCGCGGCUUAUCAGCUUGUUGGUGGGGUAGUGGCUUACCAAGGCUUUGACGGGUAGCCGGCCUGAGAGGGUGACCGGCCACAUUGGGACUGAGAUACGGCCCAGACUCCUACGGGAGGCAGCAGUGGGGAAUAUUGCACAAUGGGCGGAAGCCUGAUGCAGCAACGCCGCGUGCGGGAUGACGGCCUUCGGGUUGUAAACCGCUUUCGCCUGUGACGAAGCGUGAGUGACGGUAAUGGGUAAAGAAGCACCGGCUAACUACGUG
Molecule: ribosomal RNA, 467 nt
Filed under: uncultured bacterium
Lineage: Bacteria
Description: partial 16S ribosomal RNA
Rfam family: Bacterial small subunit ribosomal RNA
Source: RNAcentral